Long non-coding RNA from Gossypium arboreum, 1346 nucleotides. RefSeq lists it as uncharacterized. NCBI's taxonomy places the organism in Eukaryota, Viridiplantae, Streptophyta, Magnoliopsida, Malvales, Malvaceae. The transcript has 2 exons. The record is from RefSeq and is a predicted model, not a curated record.
UAAAAUUAUUACAAUAAAUGGGAAUCACAAGGAUCCCGGUAUAAAGGAAAACAAACCCAACAAAAUAGUAUCAAAUAUGAAUAUUCCAAAAAAAUGUAUGACAGGAAGAAACACAAACGUCACGGGUACAAGUAUUUACCAGAAGGAAAGCACAGGUGCGUUGAAUCCAAUCCUCAUAAUUUGUUCUUCCCACUUAACCUAUACCAUCUCACUUCUCAUUAAUUCAUACAAAUCAAACGAGCCAUCCCAAACUUGAGUAAACCAGUCACUACUGACCCCAGAGAACAAAAGUCCUCUACGACUUGUAAGGCCACUUAUUAUUCUAAAAAACUCCUUAUGCCGGAAAGGGAAAGAAACUAGCGAAGGAGCCCUUUAUCUAAACAGGAGCAACAACCAUCCAACAUGUCCUAAAGAGCCAUCAGAGGCUCGACCAAACACCAACGUCGUGAGAGGGAGCCAGCAAGGACAAAGAAACCACGAGAACCGCUGAUGUGGCAAAUUAACUAGCUGACGUGGCCAGUUAACCUGCCACGUUGGAUGAAAAAAAGAAAAAGAAAAAGCAGCAGCAGCAACAGAAGAAAAAGAAGAAGAAAAAGAAAAAGAAGCAGUAGCAACAGAAGAAGAAGAGACUGUUGAAGAGAAACUUCUUCUUCUUCUUCACUCAACUUCAACAAUAUUUUCUUUUUCGUCUUAUUGUGAGCAACAAAGCCAUGGGGAAUUGCUUAGUUGUUGAAGAGAAAGUUAUAAGAAUUAUGGAGCCUGAUGGCAAAAUCCUUGAAUAUCAAGCCCCCGUCAAAGUUGAACAAGUGUUAUCAAACUUCUCCGGUCAUGCACUGUCGGAUUCAUUUUCAGGCUUCCACCAUCUUCAACCUGAUGCAAAGCUGAUUUCAGGGCAGUUGUAGUACCUUAUACCUCUUCCAUCACCAUCCAAAAAGGGUAAGAAAAAGAAAGCGAGGUUUUCAAAUCCAGAAGUGAAUGAUGACCAAGUAAGGAGUCCCAAUGUUGUCAGAAUUAAGUUGAUAAUUAGUAAGCAAGAACUGCAAGAGCUGCUUCAAAAUGGAGGAGUUUCAGCUCAGGACAUUGCAUCUCACAACAUACAAAGUAAACAAACCACAAAUGGAAUCAUCGCACCUGAUGUUGAUGAUGAUAGCUGCAGAGGGUCGAAGCCUGUAUUACAAACCAUAGCUGAAGUAAACUAGUAACGCAGCAUAUCAUGUAGUAUAAAAUAUUGGUAGCUAGGAUUAUCUUACACAAAGAGUAGAAAUAAUUAAGUAUACCAAAACAAUAUUGCUUGUCACCACAAGAUACGAUGAUGUCUCCUUAAUGAAAAUGAAUUAGUAGAUAAA